UACGAAGGGGGCUAGCGUUGCUCGGAAUCACUGGGCGUAAAGCGCACGUAGGCGGCUUUUUAAGUCAGGGGUGAAAUCCUGGAGCUCAACUCCAGAACUGCCUUUGAUACUGAGAGGCUCGAGUCCGGGAGAGGUGAGUGGAACUGCGAGUGUAGAGGUGAAAUUCGUAGAUAUUCGCAAGAACACCAGUGGCGAAGGCGGCUCACUGGUCCGGUACUGACGCUGAGGUGCGAAAGCGUGGGGAGCAAACAGG
This 253-nucleotide ribosomal RNA is filed under the name uncultured bacterium. Its description in RNAcentral is "partial 16S ribosomal RNA". It matches the Rfam family "Bacterial small subunit ribosomal RNA", at positions 524 to 776 of the family's 1533-position model. The record is from RNAcentral.